GACGAACGCUGGCGGCGUGCCUAAUGCAUGCAAGUCGAGCGGGCUACGAUCUUCGGAUUGUAGCUUAGCGGCGAACGGGUGAGUAACACGUAGGUAAUCUACCCUUCAGAGGAGGACAACCUCAGGAAACUGAGGCUAAACCUUCAUACGUUCACUGGUAGGGAUACUGGUGAAGAAAGAGUUACCUUAGUGGUAGCUGCUGAAGGAUGAGCCUGCGGCCCAUCAGGUAGUUGGUGAGGUAACGGCUCACCAAGCCGAAGACGGGUAACCGGUCUGAGAGGAUGUCCGGUCACACUGGGACUGAGACACGGCCCAGACUCCUACGGGAGGCAGCAGCAGGGAAUCUUGGGCAAUGGGCGAAAGCCUGACCCAGCGACGCCGCGUGAACGAGGGAGCCCUUCGGGUGUAAAGUUCUUUCUAUACGAGCAGUGCUAUAUAUAUGGAUAGUAUAUAUAGAGGGAUAGUAGUAUAGGAAUAAGCAACGGCUAACUCCGUGCC
RNAcentral lists this ribosomal RNA (498 nucleotides) under uncultured bacterium. Its description in RNAcentral is "bacterial SSU rRNA". It matches the Rfam family "Bacterial small subunit ribosomal RNA", at positions 28 to 509 of the family's 1533-position model. The record is from RNAcentral.